CAGCCGCCGCGGUAAAACGGAGGGGGCUAGCGUUGUUCGGAAUUACUGGGCGUAAAGCGCACGUAGGCGGCUUGGUAAGUUAGAGGUGAAAGCCCGGAGCUCAACUCCGGAAUUGCCUUUAAGACUGCCGAGCUAGUAGGUGAGAGAGGUAAGUGGAAUUCCGAGUGUAGAGGUGAAAUGCGUAGAGAUCGGGAGGAACAUCAGUGGCGAAGGCGGUCAUCUGGGACAACACUGACGCUGAGGCACGAAAGCGUGGGGAGCAAACAGGAUUAGAUACCCCGGUAGUCCCUGUCUCUUAUAC
This 301-nucleotide ribosomal RNA is filed under the name uncultured bacterium. Its description in RNAcentral is "partial 16S ribosomal RNA". It matches the Rfam family "Bacterial small subunit ribosomal RNA", at positions 509 to 807 of the family's 1533-position model. The record is from RNAcentral.